This is a long non-coding RNA of Columba livia (rock pigeon), 937 nucleotides long. RefSeq lists it as uncharacterized. The transcript is spliced from 3 exons. NCBI's taxonomy places the organism in Eukaryota, Metazoa, Chordata, Aves, Columbiformes, Columbidae. The record is from RefSeq and is a predicted model, not a curated record.
CUGGGAUAUCUGCAGCACCGCUGUGGUGAUUAGCAGAGUUGCCUUGUGGUUGUAAGGCUGUAUUUUGAACUUGUGUAGAUGAUGGCUUGCCUUCCUUGUGAGCCUUGUUUUACCACCACAGCAGACUUGUCAAGAAGGGAUGUGCAAGCAAUGCAGUAAUAACACCAACCCUUGUUCAGAAGAUCAGAUAUAAUCCUGAAUGACUAAGGAACAGGCUGGAGGAAACCUGCUUUUGAGGAAGUGGUUUUGAUUCCAAAACAUCAAAAAUCCUGCAGGAUUUAAAGAUGUGAUUGUCCUCUUCAGGUCUCAUAGCAGCCAUGCAUUGCACCUGCUCAGACAGGCAGAGAUCUUCCUGCUCAUCUGAUGUUUUCAAAGGUCAGUUGUGCCAACAGGUGGUACCAGGGUGGUGGGUAGUGCUCAUUCCCAGACAUGUUCACAGUAGUGCCAGCAGAGCCAUUGGCACAGUGAGCCCCUUAUCUCCUGUCUGGGCUUGCAAACCAUCACCCAAGAAAGCAAUGGCCCUUUUGGGGCACCAGCAUCCCUGAUCCUCUCUCCAGAGCUGGGAAGGAGCUCUCUGAAGCUCUGUUGGUAUGAAGUGGUAUUCUGUAAUCUUUGGCAAAGACAAGGGGUACAGGAGGGGUGGAAAUAUGUUUGUGUUAAAGGGGGAGUGGUGUUGUAUCUGUUUUUAGCUCAUGGUAAAGGGGUGUUUGAUGAGGGAUAUUCUGAAUGAUGAAAGAGUUUGCUUCUUAUUUCUAAAAGGGGGGGGGAGCAAAAAGAAAACAAAACAACAAAAAAAACCAAACACUAAAAACCACCUACCUGUCAGACCUUGCUGAGAUUCUUUAAUUAAUGUACUGAGACUUGCUGUUAAGGUCAGGCAGAAACAGAUGUAUUAGCUAGGCCUGAAGUUUGAUCAGCUGUUCAAAGAUAAUUAAAC